RNAcentral lists this ribosomal RNA (1370 nucleotides) under uncultured bacterium. RNAcentral's name for it is "16S ribosomal RNA". It matches the Rfam family "Bacterial small subunit ribosomal RNA". The record is from RNAcentral.
AGAGUUUGAUCCUGGCUCAGGACGAACGCUGGCGGCGCGCCUAACACAUGCAAGUCGAACGAGCGAGAGAGAGCUUGCUUUCUCAAGCGAGUGGCGAACGGGUGAGUAACGCGUGAGGAACCUGCCUCAAAGAGGGGGACAACAGUUGGAAACGACUGCUAAUACCGCAUAAGCCCACAGCUCGGCAUCGAGCAGAGGGAAAAGGAGCAAUCCGCUUUGAGAUGGCCUCGCGUCCGAUUAGCUAGUUGGUGAGGUAAUGGCCCACCAAGGCGACGAUCGGUAGCCGGACUGAGAGGUUGAACGGCCACAUUGGGACUGAGACACGGCCCAGACUCCUACGGGAGGCAGCAGUGGGGAAUAUUGCACAAUGGGGGAAACCCUGAUGCAGCGACGCCGCGUGGAGGAAGAAGGUCUUCGGAUUGUAAACUCCUGUUGUUGAGGAAGAUAAUGACGGUACUCAACAAGGAAGUGACGGCUAACUACGUGCCAGCAGCCGCGGUAAAACGUAGGUCACAAGCGUUGUCCGGAAUUACUGGGUGUAAAGGGAGCGCAGGCGGGAAGACAAGUUGGAAGUGAAAUCUAUGGGCUCAACCCAUAAACUGCUUUCAAAACUGUUUUUCUUGAGUAGUGCAGAGGUAGGCGGAAUUCCCGGUGUAGCGGUGGAAUGCGUAGAUAUCGGGAGGAACACCAGUGGCGAAGGCGGCCUACUGGGCACCAACUGACGCUGAGGCUCGAAAGUGUGGGUAGCAAACAGGAUUAGAUACCCUGGUAGUCCACACCGUAAACGAUGAUUACUAGGUGUUGGAGGAUUGACCCCUUCAGUGCCGCAGUUAACACAAUAAGUAAUCCACCUGGGGAGUACGACCGCAAGGUUGAAACUCAAAGGAAUUGACGGGGGCCCGCACAAGCAGUGGAGUAUGUGGUUUAAUUCGACGCAACGCGAAGAACCUUACCAAGUCUUGACAUCCUGCGACGGACAUAGAAAUAUGUCUUUCCUUCGGGACGCAGAGACAGGUGGUGCAUGGUUGUCGUCAGCUCGUGUCGUGAGAUGUUGGGUUAAGUCCCGCAACGAGCGCAACCCUUACUGUCAGUUACUACGCAAGAGGACUCUGGCAGGACUGCCGUUGACAAAACGGAGGAAGGUGGGGAUGACGUCAAAUCAUCAUGCCCUUUAUGACUUGGGCUACACACGUACUACAAUGGCGUUAAACAAAGAGAAGCAAGACCGCGAGGUGGAGCAAAACUCAGAAACAACGUCCCAGUUCGGACUGCAGGCUGCAACUCGCCUGCACGAAGUCGGAAUUGCUAGUAAUCGUGGAUCAGCAUGCCACGGUGAAUACGUUCNCCGGGCCCUUGUACACACCGCCCGU